UACGGAGGGGGCGAGCGUUAUUCGGAAUUAUUGGGCGUAAAGGGCGCGUAGGCGGCUUCUUAAGUCAAAGGUGAAAUCCCUCGGCUCAACUGAGGAACUGCCUUUGAAACUGGGGAGCUUGAGUCCGGGAGGGGGUAGCGGAAUUCCCAGUGUAGCGGUGAAAUGCGUAGAUAUUGGGAGGAACACCAGUGGCGAAGGCGGCUACCUGGACCGGAACUGACGCUGAGGCGCGAAAGCCAGGGGAGCAAACGGG
This 253-nucleotide ribosomal RNA is filed under the name uncultured bacterium. Its description in RNAcentral is "partial 16S ribosomal RNA". It matches the Rfam family "Bacterial small subunit ribosomal RNA", at positions 524 to 776 of the family's 1533-position model. The record is from RNAcentral.